ACCGGAGGAGGAGGAGGAGCU
This 21-nucleotide small RNA is filed under the name Arabidopsis thaliana (thale cress). RNAcentral describes it as "ATSL121990". Lineage: Eukaryota; Viridiplantae; Streptophyta; Magnoliopsida; Brassicales; Brassicaceae. The record is from RNAcentral.